CCAAAAGAUUUUGAAGUAUGAGCUAUUUCGUUGCUAGGUCCUGUAGUGUACGCCCGUGCCAAAAAAAAGAAAAAAAAUCUCUGGCUUUUCUGGAGGUAAAUUUCCCAAAGUGAGUCUGGCUCGUCCUGAGAUCUGAGGUCCGACCUCUCUCAUCUUCUCUUUUAUUUUUUUUUAACAUUCAAAUUAUCCGGAAAGGGAUCGUACUGCACAUACACACAAAAUAAAACCCAAGAAGGGGAAGAUAAGAGAGAGAGAGAGAAAUAAGUAGCAAAGCAAAAGAAAAAGAAACCCCACACAAGAUGCAGUUUGCAAAACAAAAAAGAGAAAAAAAUCCGGAUCGGGGCGAAAGGAUCUGAAACGCAACAGGACUGCGUUAAAGUGAUCUGAAAAGGUUCCUGAGUGCAAGCUGCGCUGCUGACUCUAGGGGGAGUGGCUGUUGUUUAUCCCGAAUUCAUUGCGCUCAGGUUCACCGGGGGAGGCGUGGCUCGUCCAAUUUCAACCCCCCUCUCUCCACCACCCCCCCCCCCGCUUCCAGCAGCAACAAUAACAACAACAUCAUCCACCCACCGAACAGAGAAAAGAGAGAAGGCAAAGCCAAAGGCAAAUGAAAAAAAGUUGCUGAAUUCUACAGGCAGAUUCCUUAACACUUGUGGAUGCAUUUGAUUGGCUGGAAAUGUUGUUAAAAUUCGUAAUACAAGAUGUAGCUGUUGGGCAAAUAAUCUGGGAAAACAGACAAAUUAUUUGAGAAGACCAGAAGAUUGUAUCACAAGAUCUCCAGAUGGAUAAUGAAAUAAUGAAACGGAGGAAGUUCUCCACCAGCAGUGAGGACUCGGAUACCACUGACAGUCACAUAACAUUAUGGUGUCGAAGUUCUAAGACAGCAAACACAAAGCACCCCUGGACAAGGCAGGAAGAGAAGAAGCCAUCAGAGGUUUGUCAACAUGUUUAACAAUUUUCUCUCAUCAAUAGCUUAUUAUUUUCCACUUCAAAACAAUGAGGAACGUUGCUUCUCACUCAAACAGGAGGAGGAGACAGAUGUUAACCAGUAAACUCCAGCCGAAGAGCUCCUUCAUUUGACUCAAAUGUGUUUAUACCCCAAUGCAGAUAACUUUUUUUUGGUUGAAUAAAUGAAUAGCUGUUUCCGUUGUUCCAACCAAGUAAUAUCCAGUACAUUUUUCUGCUUAAUGUGUAUACUUCAGAAAUGAUCAAAAAUUGAACAGCCAAUUAAUUAGAAAUAAAACUUGACAGGAUUGAUGUUUUGCAC
Rhincodon typus (whale shark) is the source of this 1264-nucleotide long non-coding RNA. RefSeq lists it as uncharacterized. NCBI's taxonomy places the organism in Eukaryota, Metazoa, Chordata, Chondrichthyes, Orectolobiformes, Rhincodontidae. The transcript is spliced from 5 exons. The record is from RefSeq and is a predicted model, not a curated record.